UAGGGAAUAUUGGGCAAUGGACGGAAGUCUGAACCAGCCAUGCCGCGUGCAGGAAGACGGCCCUCUGGGUUGUAAACUGCUUUUAUUCGGGAAUAAACCUGCCUACGAGUAAGUAGCUGAAUGUACCGAAGGAAUAAGGAUCGGCUAACUCCGUGCCAGCAGCCGCGGUAAUACGGAGGAUCCAAGCGUUAUCCGGAUUUAUUGGGCUUAGAGGGUGCGUAGGCGGCCUAUUAAGUCAGGGGUGAAAGACGGUAGCUCAACUAUCGCAGUGCCCUUGAUACUGAUGGGCUUGAAUGAACUCGAGGUAGGCGGAAUGUGACAAGUAGCGGUGAAAUGCAUAGAUAUGUCACAGAACCCCGAUUGCGAAGGCAGCUUACUAUGGUUUUAUUGACGCUGAGGCACGAAAGCGUGGGGAUCAAACA
Molecule: ribosomal RNA, 422 nt
Filed under: uncultured bacterium
Lineage: Bacteria
Description: bacterial SSU rRNA
Rfam family: Bacterial small subunit ribosomal RNA
Source: RNAcentral